UUACGGAGGCAGCAGUGGGGAAUUUUGCGCAAUGGGCGAAAGCCUGACGCAGCAACGCCGCGUGGGUGAUGAAGGUCUUCGGAUCGUAAAACCCUGUCGUCAGGGACGAAGGUUGUGUUCCCAAUAGGGAUGCAGCUUGACGGUACCUGGAGAGGAAGCCCCGGCUAACUCUGUGCCAGCAGCCGCGGUAAUACAGAGGGGGCAAGCGUUAUUCGGAAUUAUUGGGCGUAAAGGGCGCGUAGGCGGUGGUUUAAGUGAGAUGUGUAAUCCCCGAGCUUAACUUGGGAACUGCAUCUCAGACUGGAUCGCUAGAGUGCUGGAGAGGGUGGUGGAAUUCCACGUGUAGCGGUGAAAUGCGUAGAGAUGUGGAGGAACACCAGUGGCGAAGGCGGCCACCUGGACAGUAACUGACGCUGAGGCGCGAAAGUGUGGGGAGCAAACAGGAUUAGAUACCCUGGUAGU
This 462-nucleotide ribosomal RNA is filed under the name uncultured bacterium. Its description in RNAcentral is "bacterial SSU rRNA". It matches the Rfam family "Bacterial small subunit ribosomal RNA", at positions 339 to 794 of the family's 1533-position model. The record is from RNAcentral.